AAUUAUAUAUAUGUUUGUGCAAGGCGCGGCUCUUAACCUAGUCUACAAUAUAUCUCUACAAAAUGAUAACUUUAAAAAAAUAACAGUUUUUAGAAAAUUUAUUUAAAAAAUACAAUCCAAUGAUAAAAAAUUCUAAAAAAAUGAUCAGCUAUUAACAAAAACUCUUGUAAUCCUAAUUUCUAGUUCAAAAUAUCAAAUCUACAAUAUUUGUCUAUAAAAAUAAUAACUUUCCCAAAAUAGCAGUUUUUUAAAAAUUUAUUUUAAAAAACCUAUUGAUCAAAUAUUCUAAAAGAAUGUCUAUCUAUCAACAAAAACACUUGUUAUCCUACUUUCUAAAUUACAAUCUCAAAUCUACAAUAUUUCUCUAAAAAAUAAUAACUUUCCUAAAAUACCAGUUUUUAGAAAAUUUAUUUAAAAAAUACAACCUAAUGAUAAAAAAUUCUAAAAAAAUGCUUAUCUAUUAACAAAAACUAUUGUAAUCCUAAUUUCU
This 490-nucleotide long non-coding RNA is filed under the name Brassica rapa (field mustard). RNAcentral describes it as "long non-coding RNA (BRAP_LNC006375)". Lineage: Eukaryota; Viridiplantae; Streptophyta; Magnoliopsida; Brassicales; Brassicaceae. The record is from RNAcentral.